CCUUCCGUGUAACAUCUUUCUCACUGCCCUGUGUUUAAUGAACAGUAUCAAGGUGCGCCAUUUGAACAGGAAUUUCACAGUGCGAAAUAUACCCAGAAAUAUCACACAAUAUUCUGCAUUUUACAUGUUUUAUCUGGACAAAGUAAAAAAGCUUUAAUCUCAAUGAUAUCAUUAAUAAUAAACAAAGUCACAUAUAAAAACAUACAAAAUAGGGUAAGGUACAUAUGGGGUAAGGUACAUAUGGGGUAAGGUACAUAUGGGGUAAGGUACAUAUGGGGUGAGGUACAUAUGGGGUAAGGUACAUAUGGGGUGAGGUACAUAUGGGGUGAGGUACAUAUGGAGUACGGUACAUAUGGGGUAAGUUACAUAUGGGGUGAGGUACAUAUGGAGUACGGUACAUAUGGGGUAAGUUACAUAUGGGGUAAGGUACAUAUGGGGUAAGGUACAUAUGGGGUAAGGUACAUAGGCCUCAAGCAGACAUGUAUUGUAUUGCUUUUACAGUGACUUCUGUGAACUGUCUAGGAAAGAUGGGAAACCAUAAACUCAAAGUGACAAAUUAAAAUGACAUAUACUGAAUAUUGAAGGACAUACAGGACUGCCUUCGAGCUCCUGUCAAAAUGGACACAAAACCUACUAUUACAAUUUAGCUUAAAACAAAUUAAAUAAAAAAGAUCAUCAUUAAACCAAAAGCGAUGCUGAUGAACAAUAAAUAGCCUACAAGUGAGGUUAAUGCAUUAAUAGAUUAUAGUUUUAUUACAAUAUUAUAUUGUCUUUUUUUUGUACCUAUUAUCAAAUCACUUGACAAUCACUUCAUAUACAGACAGGAGUCCUCUCUCAUCUUGGCCUCUUACACUACGAAAUAACAUGUCUUCAUUUUGUUAGAAUUGGCAAAUAGUCAUAACUUUACACACAAACAUCUCAAGAGGUACAUAUGGGGUACGGUACAUAUGGGGUACGGUACAUAGUAGAGCUGAGCAAAAAUCACCAACAACAAAAAAGAUCAAAGAGCCCUGACUAGUUCCAUGCAGGCUGGCAUAGAGAUAGGUCAAUCAUAUCUGUAUCUACAGUGCCAACUGCCAAGUUUGCACUUAAGCAAGAAGGAACAGAUACUGUAGAAGGGUUGGAAGGAAUUGUGGGAGGUGUAGUCUUGCUGUGGACGGCAUUCACCUCAAGUUACCUCAAUACAGCAACAGAUUUCUCAGUCAAUAUGUAACGCCAUCACCAGCAACAUGAUAGCAGUAAAAUGUGAACUGAAACGAUCACUAUAUAAAUAUAAGACAAUUGCUGCCCCUUGCAGAACACAAAAUGUUUUGCAAUGUUUCUCCAAAAUGAUCACGAUCAACCAGCAGGUGAAGAUGUUUACGUUACCUUGAAACUGAUACCAAUUCUCUCUGAUUAAUAAUUGACUCUAGUCCAUCGUUUUUCAUGUUUACUGUUGCGUUCCAUUAAACUGACUUCAUGGAGGCGGGCCUGGGCAAGACAUAGACAUAGAUCUGCAUUUUCCAGCAGCAUAAAGAGGAAGGACAAAACAAAAGAAACUGCUGCGGUAGCACUGUUGAAGCAACAGGCUGGCUGUUGGUAACAAGGUUGGUUUAAUGUUACAAUAAGUUCCAGAUAUUACACAAAGUCAAAUCAAAGGAUGACUUCAAAAUGGCACCCUAUUCCUUCUAGUCAAAAGUAAUGUACUAUUUAGCAUAACAUUUCUUCUCAUACACAUUGUAGCAGAAUGAAAGCCCAGGGAGGACAGUGGCAGGCACAGCAGUAUCCAUUGAAACCUGAUGAUCAACAAAUCUUUGGUCAAAUGAAACAUGUUUUAUUGCACUGUACAGUCUUGCGAAACCUCAGAGGCGAAAUUAGUUUCACUUCAUCUUUUUGAAAAAGUGCUGUGUACACUCGUGAACAAUGUUCCCUCUAAACUGCGCAUGUGCAGCUCCCCGGGACUGAUAAGCAGAAGAAAUAUCAGCCCUGUGCGAGUCUGAACUUUACUCAACUUUCUAGAGUUUUCCCAGUUAGUUAACACUAUCAGUGUUUCCCUUUACUGUGGGAAUUGUGAUCGAAUGAACGCAAUAUCAGCCACUUUCAAUACAACAUACCAAAACAAAACAAACAGUGCAAUACUUACUAUGCAAAACUAAAUAUAUAAAAGAUUUUGUUGUAGGCAGAACGCAUCAGAGUAGGAUUCUAUUGCAUUGACAGGCAGACUUGUACUCUACACAGACCAGUGUGCCAUAACCAAUCAGAGCUGCAGUAGGCCUAUAUACAAAUAGACCAUUGUCAUAUAUAGAUCUGUGCCAUUCACUUUGAACUGGACUGCUUUUACAGCAUGAGCGGUUGUGAGUAGAUCAAAGCAAGAACUAUAUGUAGCGACUUGUGCACAUUUGUACAUUUGUUCACUAGUUAGUGAGUUAUUAGCCCAGUUAUUGAUAAUUUGUAGUCAGAAAUGGGGGGUGAUUGCUUCCUACAAGAACACAAAACGUGUGCAUUUCAGCCUUGAAUACACUAAGUAGCCAAAGCCAGAGGGUAGCAUAAUUUGUGUCAUUCUCUGGAAUAAUGGUAUGGGAAUAAUGAUGCAAGUGGUUUCUUGCAUCAAACAACACAACAACAUUUUCAAUCACCUCCUUGUUUGAAGGACAAGUGGAUAAACAGGUUCAUGUCAAGUCCUACAUGUUUUUUUCAAAAGUCUCAUGGAAUGUAGACUUACAUUGAACACCGCACAUUGGCUGCUACUGUUGGCUGAAUGACAGAACAGCUAUUUCCAUGUUAUAAUGUUAUGGGAUGCAUUUUCUCCAUUGUUUAUUAUGGUAGGCCACUCUGGUAGGCCUACAUUAUGAUCAAAUAGCCACAGUACCCUACUUGACCACUGUUAAAACUAACUUAAAGCAGGAACAACCUGUAAACCUGCACCGGAAGUUGCAAAGAAUUUUCACAGUAUUCAAAUUUGCUCUUAGCAGACCUGAGUUUUAACAAUCAUGCUGGUAGAAUCUACAGUUUACCUACACCAUGGCAACUCUGUAUAUAACCAUUUAUGUUAGGCUUUUAAACAUAGGCUGUUAAAGAGUUAUAUCAUUUGUAAUCAACCACAGUGCUUAAAGGCUGGCAUCCUCAGUAGAUUAUGAAGAAACAAAUGCCUCAAAUCAGAAUGACCUGAGUGCCAAAGUGACUGCCACCGAACACUUAACAGGAAACAGUCCAUCAAAGGACAGUGAAGGUGACAAGCUCCUUAUUGAUCGUCAAGGAAACAGCCCCUUCCAGAGACUGCCAGUUAACUAAUCAUCUCCUGUCGCUGUUUAGACCUGGCAACAGGGAGACAGAGGGAGAGCAUAAGAGAGAAGGCGAGAGAGAGAGAGAAGGAGAAUAUUGUUACAAAAUAAUAGAAAGUCAAAUCAGGAGACACUUCACGAAAUCAUUACAAGGAGCACGAGCAGCAUGUAAACUACAAGAUAACUACAAGGUUAACUAGAAGAUAAUCAAUCAUAAAAAACAAAAAACAUGUCCCCUAUGAAGCUAUGAUGCUAAAUAGCAAGAGAGCUAUUAUAAAUACAGUAGAUGUUGAUACAAUAUGUUUUAGAUAGAUACAGUGGGGCAAAAAAA
Molecule: long non-coding RNA, 3591 nt
Organism: Oncorhynchus tshawytscha (Chinook salmon)
Lineage: Eukaryota; Metazoa; Chordata; Actinopteri; Salmoniformes; Salmonidae
Source: Ensembl